Molecule: ribosomal RNA, 433 nt
Filed under: uncultured bacterium
Lineage: Bacteria
Description: partial 16S ribosomal RNA
Rfam family: Bacterial small subunit ribosomal RNA
Source: RNAcentral
AACGAACGCUGGCGGCAGGCCUAACACAUGCAAGUCGAACGCACCUUUCGGGGUUAGUGGCAGACGGGUGAGUAACGCGUGGGAAUCUGCCCUUCUCUACGGGAUAGCUCCGGGAAACGGGAAUUAAUACCGUAUACGUCCUGAGGGAGAAAGAUUUAUCGGGGAAGGAUGAGCCCGCGUUGGAUUAGCUAGUUGGUGGGGUAAAGGCCUACCAAGGCGACGAUCCAUAGCUGGUCUAAGAGGAUGAUCAGCCACAUUGGGACUGAGACACGGCCCAAACUCCUACGGGAGGCAGCAGUGGGGAAUAUUGGACAAUGGGCGCAAGCCUGAUCCAGCCAUGCCGCGUGAGUGAUGAAGGCCUUAGGGUUGUAAAGCUCUUUCAGUCGGGACGAUAAUGACGGUACCCACAGAAGAAGCCCCGGCUAACUUCGUG